CCCCAAGUAUCGCCGAUAAGGUUCGGAUCGGAGUUUCUUCACAUGGCCACCGAUGUUCAGACCUUGGAAGAAAGGUAUAUUGAUUCCUGCAGUAGACUUGAUGUAUUACCAAAUCCUGCAAUUUUGUCUGGUCUCUUCAAGGCUGAUGUUAGAAAGGCUCGGCGAGAAUCAUGUACCCUAGAGAUUCUAUUGGAAUACUUGAAGGAUAUUGAUUUCAAUCCACUUCUUGAAG
Pistacia vera is the source of this 232-nucleotide long non-coding RNA. RefSeq lists it as uncharacterized. The record is from RefSeq and is a predicted model, not a curated record. The transcript has 3 exons. NCBI's taxonomy places the organism in Eukaryota, Viridiplantae, Streptophyta, Magnoliopsida, Sapindales, Anacardiaceae.